Molecule: ribosomal RNA, 374 nt
Filed under: uncultured organism
Description: partial 16S ribosomal RNA
Rfam family: Bacterial small subunit ribosomal RNA
Source: RNAcentral
GAACCGUACAAACGUUAUUCGGGAAUCACUGGGCUUAAAGGGUGCGUAGGCGGCUCGUCAAGUUGGGGUGUGAAAUCCCUCGGGCUCAACCGAGGAACUGCGCUCAAAACUGGCGAGCUCGAGGAAGACAGAGGUGAGCGGAACUUAGGGUGGAGCGGUGAAAUGCGUUGAUAUCCUAAGGAACACCAGUAGCGAAGGCGGCUCACUGGGUCUUUUCUGACGCUGAGGCACGAAAGCUAGGGUAGCGAACGGGAUUAGAUACCCCGGUAGUCCUAGCUGUAAACGAUGAGCACUAGAUCGGAGGGUCCUCCAUAGCCUUCCGGUCGUAGCGAAAGUGUUAAGUGCUCCGCCUGGGGAGUAUGGUCGCAAGGCUG